ACCAGACUCCUACGGGAGGCAGCAGUGGGGAAUAUUGGACAAUGGGGGGAACCCUGAUCCAGCGACGCCGCGUGAGUGAAGAAGUAUUUCGGUAUGUAAAGCCCUAUCGGCAGGGAAGAAGCAAGACGGUACCUGACUAAGAAGCCCCGGCUAACUACGUGCCGGCAGCCGCGGUAAUACGUAGGGGGCGAGCGUUAUCCGGAUUCACUGGGUGUAAAGGGAGCGUAGACGGCCAUGCAAGCCAGGGGUGAAAGCCCGGGGCCCAACCCCGGGACUGCCCUUGGAACUGCAUGGCUGGAGUGCGGGAGGGGCAGGCGGAAUUCCUGGUGUAGCGGUGAAAUGCGUAGAUAUCAGGAGGAACACCGGUGGCGAAGGCGGCCUGCUGGACUGCAACUGACGUUGAGGCCCGAAAGCGUGGGGAGCAAACAGGAUUAGAUACCCCUGUA
This 446-nucleotide ribosomal RNA is filed under the name uncultured bacterium. RNAcentral describes it as "bacterial SSU rRNA". It matches the Rfam family "Bacterial small subunit ribosomal RNA", at positions 330 to 792 of the family's 1533-position model. The record is from RNAcentral.